ACAGGUGCCGAGAAGACGACCAAACUUGAUCAUUUAGAGGAAGUAAAAGUCGUAAUAAGGUUUCCGAAGGUUAACCUACGAAGGAUCAUUA
RNAcentral lists this non-coding RNA (91 nucleotides) under Schistocephalus solidus. RNAcentral's name for it is "Eukaryotic small subunit ribosomal RNA". It matches the Rfam family "Eukaryotic small subunit ribosomal RNA", at positions 1740 to 1831 of the family's 1831-position model. Lineage: Eukaryota; Metazoa; Platyhelminthes; Cestoda; Diphyllobothriidea; Diphyllobothriidae. The record is from Rfam by way of RNAcentral.